AGGAGCUGUAUGAGGUGAAAAUCUCAUGUACGGUUCUGUAAAGUGGCAAUAAGGGUAACUUAUCUGUCAACUUUUCC
This is a non-coding RNA of Gossypium raimondii (Peruvian cotton), 77 nucleotides long. NCBI's taxonomy places the organism in Eukaryota, Viridiplantae, Streptophyta, Magnoliopsida, Malvales, Malvaceae. The record is from Rfam.